Long non-coding RNA from Choloepus didactylus (southern two-toed sloth), 623 nucleotides. RefSeq lists it as uncharacterized. The record is from RefSeq and is a predicted model, not a curated record. The transcript is spliced from 3 exons. Lineage: Eukaryota; Metazoa; Chordata; Mammalia; Pilosa; Megalonychidae.
UGGUCUAACUACAUAAACCCAACAUCCGACCAUUGGGCUGCCCAAGCCACUCCACCGAAACCUGUGUUGGCUGACCAAUCCAGUGAACGUGCAUGUUCCAGUUCACUUGAUACCAUCGAAGGAUUGGAUCCUGCAACAACAGGAAUAAAUCUAAGCAAUGGAGCAAAAUAGAAGUCAGAUAAUUGGUUCUGACUUCCACCCCCCGAACAUAUAAGAGAUGUCACUCAAGAGGCACCCGAAUCAGUUCUUCAAGUUCUACAGGAUUACUCCGUGUCAUCUUGAUCAGCCAACCAUCUUCAUGAGAUUUGUUGACAAGUCCUGGAUUUUCAGCAAGAGCUUCAUUAAUUUCUGUUACUUCUCCUGAUAGACGUGAAUAAAGUUCACUAGCAGCUUUCACAAUUUGCAAAGCACCAAACUCCUCGUUUGUUCAAUUUUGUCCCAACCUCGGGAAGAUUACAGUUAACGACAUCUGCCAAAGCUUCUUGUGCAAAAUUGCUGAUUCCCAGUGUUCCCUUACCAUUUUCUGUUGUUAUCCAUUCAUGUUUCUGUGAAUUUCCGCACCGAGAGCAGAAAGGGACCGGAGUGCAGCGUGCGAGCAGCGCCUGUCUUCAGCCCCCAGCCCC